RNAcentral lists this ribosomal RNA (518 nucleotides) under uncultured bacterium. RNAcentral's name for it is "bacterial SSU rRNA". It matches the Rfam family "Bacterial small subunit ribosomal RNA", at positions 374 to 882 of the family's 1533-position model. The record is from RNAcentral.
GCCGAAAGUCUGACGGAGCAACGCCGCGUGAGUGAAGAAGGUUUUCGGAUCGUAAAGCUCUGUCUUCAGGGACGAAUGUGCUUAAUGUGAAUAAUGUUAAGUAAUGACGGUACCUGAGGAGGAAGCCACGGCUAACUACGUGCCAGCAGCCGCGGUAAUACGUAGGUGGCAAGCGUUGUCCGGAAUUAUUGGGCGUAAAGCGCGCGCAGGCGGGAAUGUAAGUCUGUCUUAAAAGUUCGGGGCUCAACCCCGUGAUGGGAUGGAAACUACAUUUCUUGAGUGCAGGAGAGGAAAGUGGAAUUCCUAGUGUAGCGGUGAAAUGCGUAGAUAUUAGGAGGAACACCAGUGGCGAAGGCGACUUUCUGGACUGUGUCUGACGCUGAGGCGCGAAAGCCAGGGGAGUGAACGGGAUUAGAUACCCCGGUAAUCCUGGCCGUAAACGAUGGGUACUAGGUGUAGGAGGUAUCGACCCCUUCUGUGCCGGAGUUAACGCAAUAAGUACCCCGCCCUGGGGAGUA